Molecule: ribosomal RNA, 407 nt
Filed under: uncultured bacterium
Lineage: Bacteria
Description: partial 16S ribosomal RNA
Rfam family: Bacterial small subunit ribosomal RNA
Source: RNAcentral
AUUGAACGCUGGCGGCAGGCCUAACACAUGCAAGUCGAGCGGAGCGGCGGACGGGUGAGUAAUGCCUAGGUAUCUGCCUGGUAGUGGGGGAUAACGUCCGGAAACGGGCGCUAAUACCGCAUACUAUCAGAUGAGCCUAGGUCGGAGUAGCUAGUUGGUGGGUUAAAUGCCUACCAAGGCGACGAUCCGUAACUGGUCGGAGAGGAUGAUCAGUCAAACUGGAACUGAGACACGGCCCAGACUCCUACGGGAGGCAGAAGUGGGGAAUAUUGGACAAUGGGCGCAAGCCUGAUGCAGCCAUGCCGCGUGUGUGAAGAAGGUCUUCGGAUUGUAAAGCACUUUAAGUUGGGAGGCGUUACCAACAGAAUAAGCACCGGCUAACUUCGUGCCAGCAGCCGCGGUAAUAC